This is a long non-coding RNA of Terrapene triunguis (Three-toed box turtle), 1672 nucleotides long. RefSeq lists it as uncharacterized. The transcript is spliced from 2 exons. The record is from RefSeq and is a predicted model, not a curated record. Lineage: Eukaryota; Metazoa; Chordata; Testudines; Emydidae.
GGGGUGCUGGUUUAUGACUAGGGCUUCUGGGUGCUACAGUAAUACAGAUUUAGAAUAUAUUAAUAAUAAUGAUAACACAGCAUGGCAUUUCUUCACAUGGCUCAAUUAACCAGGCACCAAAUAGACCCUGAUUUAUCACCAUCAAGGUUGUUUGUUGUCUAUAUACUCUCAGUGCAGCUAGUCAAACUAUUAUGCAAAGUGAAACAUAAGUGAACUAAUAAUAUUAUGAACAAACUCAGCUUAUCAAAAAGUGAUUAUGUAUAUAACAAAAAUAAAAAGCAAGCACCAUGAAAUGUACAUAGCAAACUAAACAACUUCAUAAUUUUAUUGCUGUAAACCUCAUCCUCCCUUCCUCCACAUAGUGACUAAUUGGUACUGUCUUAUGUCUAGAUUUAAUAUACAAGUUUUUAGGGGCAAGAACUGUGACUUUGCGCUUUCUGUAAAGCACCUUCUAUAUUUUGGGUGGUAUGUGACAAUAAAUGCUAGAUUUUAGUUCAGAAAAUUGAGCAGGAGAAACCAUUGGAACUGAAUUUUGAAUCCAGAGGGCCUCAUUCUUCUCUUAUCCUUUAUAAUUGCUUUUGCACUACCAUCUUUUCUCCUCACAAGCUCCCAUGUAGGUUUUAACUCUUGUCUGCAAGGGAGGCAUAGAGCAGAGGCUAGGCAGAUACACCACACACAUCAUCUCACCCUACCUCCAGCAGAAUUUCCAAGUUAAAAAUGAUAAAAACUGCCUAAGGCUGUAUUAUAAGAUCAAACAGCUUGACUGGCUUGUUUUAAAAAAAAAUGCUUCAGGUUAACAGAAUUAAAUGUAUAUGAAGUAUUAACACUCACAAAAAAGAAGGCAGAGGAUAGAAUUCAAACAAAAGAAAUAUGGGAACAAUGUUUUUGUUACUUGUUCCAAGAUAAUACAAUUAUUUUAUACUCUUAUGAGUUUCUUUCCGGGAUAAAUCUUUAAUUAUACACUGUGGAACAGCUUCAACAGCAAAGACUGAGGAAGCCCCACAUCAGAAUAUCCUGUACCACAUUGCUUAGAGACUCUUCUGACCCCUGUUCAAAUCCCCUUUCCCCUCCUCAGGCAAAGGCGGGAAUUGAUCCUGGGUCUCCUAUGUCUCAGAGCUGAUACAAGCCAGUCCCAACUGGUUUGAAACUGUCAUCCCCUCAGAACUUUUCCACCACUCACUCUUUAUAAGGAACUAUGCCAUGUCAUCACGGGGCUGUCUGUCCAGGAGGCAGCCAUGUGCAGUCGGGCUUUUGCGUGGAUCUCCGGAUCAAGAGCUGUGAAGGAUCCAGUGACACCAUCAACUUACCUGCCAUCCAGGGUCCUGUGGUCCACCAUCCAGCAGCUUUGGUCCACCAGCUUGUCACCAUCCAGCAGCUGAGAUCCAGUGUUCCUCCCCAAAGGCCAGCGUUUGGCUUGAGGGUAGAAGGUCCUGGACCCACCGCUCACUAUCAUCUGACCUGCCCAUAGAUGACAUUGGAGUAGCAGUAGGCUAUAUAGGAGAUUUGAUUUGUUUUGUUAUUGUUGCUGUGGGAGGGGUAUAUUGGGCCUGAGCUUCAAGUUCCUUUGUUGCAGUCCACUGUUUGCUGUGUUUUUAUGUGUUUGCUUGUGGUUGUCCCUUUACCCCUUUCAUGUAACCAACCCUAAUACACUACUUACCUGAUUCAAACAUAA